UGCUCUUAGCCUAUUAGGCCCCAUGAAAAGAACAAAACUAACCCCACUUCUGUUACUUCUCAAGAUGAAACUGGAUUCAUAUUGGGCCCUGCCUUUAAAUUGGCUGUGGGAACAGAGUAGGGCCUCCCAUAAAUACCCUGGCUUGGGGCAAAGGGCAGGGCAAGCCCUUACAGAGACAGGGAUCUACCAAGAUAUGAAAUACCUGUCUGGCAAGUCCUUAGAAGGUCUAAAACUAUUGUGCUAUGUGCCCUCGUGUCAUGCUAAAGUUAACUGGGCAUCAGGGCGCAUAAGCACGGCUUGGCAGCAGAACCAGAGCGUAGCUCCCAAAGGUUCUCCACUGUGGGGUUUAGGGGAUUGGAAAUUCAUUCAUUCAAGUAAAGAUUUAUGAGCACACAUCAAAAUCACAAGUGGCACUUUUUCCCUAAAAUACACAUCUUUAUGAAUUUGCUUUGUGGGGUCCUUCAGAGGCUGUUUCUCUCCACACACUCUGCUUGAAAUUUAGGUAACAUAGAAAAGAUGAAUGAUGGUACCUGUAUACUGUCAAACUGGAGUGUUUUUCCUAAGUCCCAGGAAACCUACUCUUAUCAAACAUCCUCAACCUUUCUGUAGAAAUCACUUAUGAAGCAAUUGCUAGUUUCAGAGCAAAAAUUAAAGAAAGAAACCCUAAGUAAAGUCAAGUACUUUCUCAGACUUAAAAAGUAAUCUAAUAUGAAGCCCUGCUAGUCUCAUCUGACUGAAAGACCUAAAUAGCAAUAAUUAUGACUGCCAUCUACUGAGCACUUUCUAUGUGCCAAGCACUUCUUUGUCUUCUCAUUUAAUCUGCACAAUAACCCAAUGAGGUGGGUGCUAUUCUACCAUAUGAGAGACUGGACACUCAAAGCCUUUAAAUGAUUUAGCUAAGACUUAGAGCUAUAAUUUAGGUGAAAGUGACUGAAGCUUCGUCUGAUGCUGGGCAUGAAAUUUAGAGGGCAAGAAAACAGUCAUUAUGAAAGACUGACAUUUUAAAGUACUUUCUUUAGGAGACACUCUCUACCUUUCUCUCUCUCCCUACCUCUGGCUUUGGUGGCAAGUUCUCCUAUACACUCAGACAUUGCCCUUUCGCAACCUCCCAAGAUUUGUGUAUAUGAGAACUUUCCCUUCCAUUCCACUUUUGCCAUAAGGAUGAAUGCCCUGCCCUUUGCCAUGAGGCUAGAUUUGAAUCCAACUUCCUGUCAGUUGUUAAAGACCAGGCAAACUGUUUUUUCCCUUCCCCAUCUUUUAAAAUUAAGCUUCUGCUACUUCUGCAGAAAACUAAUCUCAUCUGAUAGUAAAACUUCACUUAGAGCCAAAAGCUUUCUGGGACUUGGAGAAGCACAGCCUGGCUUCUCCAGCUUUGGAGUUCAAAGUCAAACUAAACUGUUUGAGCCUGAAGUUUUCUACAUCUGUGCCUGGAUGUUGCCUGCUUGCUGACUGAAACCUGCGCUGGUGUGAAGAGAAGGUUCUGCUCAACACUGGUCUCACUGCCCGCUGAGACUCUAGCAAGCCAGAUUUGGGACUGGGGCUGAUGAUCUUUACCCCAGGGUAAGAUCACCCUGAACGCCCUAUGUCACAGCAAGUCAGCAUUCUCAAUACUGUCAUUCUCUGGAGGCCUGAUUUCAAGGACAUUGAGUCAAGGCCUUUUUAUAGACUCAGGAACUUCAUUUUACUUUGCAUCAUGCAGAAGUUAGCCCACCAGUUCAUGUUCUUUCUAUCCUCAUGGGCAGUUUUAUCACAGUGCUUUUUUUUGUAUUUCCUGUCACAGGCACCCAAGGGUCACCCAAGUCCAUCCUGCCAGAUUUUAGUGACUUGCAAUUGCAGAGUAAAAGGAUUGAGGACUUGAUCUUUUCCAGAUUAUAACUUCAGAAAGCUUCUGGAGUUACCUUUGGAGCUGAUUCCUUGGUUUUGGAAAACUCACCACAAUGGACUCUUUAUUUAUUUAUAAGGCAAACAUUCUCCUACUGAUCUCCAAGAAAGCUAUGCAGCUCACCUUAAAUCUGCACGAUGAUGCUACAGACUGAGGUUUUGUAUUCUGCUUAGUGUUGCAAACUGAGCUUGCAUUCAGCCAGCAUGUGACUUGGAAGAAGAAAAAGAAAUGACUUCCUAGAACUUUAGUGAUUUUGGUUAGACUGGUCAGAGAGUAGGAGGGAAGUAAUGUGGACUAUUAGGAUUGCUUUUGCAUGGUGGUGUUUGCUUUUAAUUUGGGAGAAUUUAAGGGUGACAACUUUGCUUUUGCUUGGAACAAAUACCUCCUGGUUGAACAAGUAGUGGAUUCUAGAACCUUCCUAACCAAGCUCUCCAAGUAAUUACCAAGGGAAGUGGUAAUGGCAGCAGUGAAUCAGCAUUUCCUAGGACUACCCCAGCAGUCUGAGUUUCCCUAGGUGCAAAGUAUAGCAGGCCCCACAUCCAUCAUAAAGAAUGGGCAUCUGUGAAGGAGAAUCUCAGGAGAAGGAACUUCCUAGAAGUCCAAGUUCUUUAUAUUUGACUAUUAAAAGAAGUGACCUAAAUUAUGCUCCAAAGUGGUGAAGUGGAAUAUUUCAACUCUAUUUUAUGCUAUCUUUUUUUUAUUAAAAUGCUUGUAUUUUAAUUAAGCACCAGGAAAAUUCCAUUUGCAAUGGUAUAUUGGAUAUCUUUGUAAUUAAUGGUACCAACCUAGAUAGGCUUCCUUCACAUUAAAAAAAAAAACAUUAAAUUUUGAAAUAAUUAGAGAUUCACAGAAAGAUGCAAAACUAGUACAGAGAGGUAUUGUUACCCUUCAUUUGGUUUAUACCAUACCAUCUUACCUGACUAUGUAUGUAUUUCCCAAAUUUUCUACUAUGUUAUCAUUAGGGAAAAAAAGCCUUUUUCCAGUUCUUGAAAGUGUUUUUUUUUUUAACCUUUUGUUCUGAAUUAUGUUCCUCUCCUGAGCCACACUCUGUGGAAUCCCAAUUCACCAUGCCUAUACCCAGUGAUAGUCACAAUACAUAAUGAUACGUAAAAACUGGCUGUGCUUUGGGAACGACCAAUCAGAAGAGAGUCUGGUCCCAAAAACUGGAACAGUGUUUUGGACAUUCAUGCAUUAAUCCUUUAGUUUCUGGAUCAUGGGACUGUCUGGGAGAGGGUAGCAGGGGACAUGGUUAUUGAUCAAUGGUAUAAAAAUAUCUCAGUAUUUGGACCAUCAUGCCUGGGUGCUGGAGCAUCGGCGUGAUUUCCCUGUAGUGCACUCAACACAUUGCUUGGUAUUCAUUGGAUUCUUUUUACGUGUCCCCCACCCCCAUAUAUUACCAUCUCUUUGAAAGCAAAGACUAUGUGCUUUAUUUACAGACCUCUAAAGCCCAACAUGGUACCUAAGUCAAUAUUUGACAAAUGACUAAUACAUAAACAAAACUUAGAUUCUAGUCCUGGACCUCUUCUUGAACUAGCUGUGUGACCUUAGGUAGGUAACUCACUCAGGAUCCUCUACUGUAAAACAAGAUUAUUAAACUUUUUGUUCCUUCUAAAGCUUCAUAAGAAAUUUGUAAGAAUUUCAAGAUAUGCAAGAAUAAGAAAAGACUAGUGAUAAAGUUAGAAAAUUCUAUUUUGGCAAAUAUCUAUGGCCUAUUAUACACAAAUACAUAAUUUUUAAAAGUCUGGAGGGAAAAGAAAAAUGACUUCAGAAUUGUUCAUGAAGAAAUAUCACAGUCUAGUGAAGACCAUUUUCUUUGAUACCAUGAUACAAGAGACAAUGACAUAGGUACUAUAAUAGGUAUGUAAAUAAGGCAUUUCAAAAGCAUAGAGAAAAGGCUGAUGCAUUCUAAUUGCCAUAUUGAUAUAACUCCUUGGCAUUUGUAACCAAUCUCUUUCCAAAAUUCCAAGAUUUAAUUAAUAAAAAUUGAUAUAUAUUAUUAGGUGAAUAAGUAAUAUUUUAAAGUGACUGCUAUACCUGGUACAUAGUAAAUUAUUUUUAAGUGUUAUUAUAGUAGCUAUCAUUCUUUGAGCUGCUAUUAUUAGAAGUUUGAUAAUAUGUGCAUAAGAAAUGUAAAUUUGUUAUCUCAAUUAAUUGUCACUGCAAACCCACAAAGUACUAUCCCAUUUUACAGAUGAGGAAAUCAAGGCUGGAAUUAGUCAAAUAACUUACCUGAGGUCAUAGGGUUAGUAAGGGGCCACACCUACCUUGAACUCAGAUUUGUCAACUCUAAAGGUCCUGUUUUGUUUUUAACUACCAUUUAAAAAUAAGGUACAUGAUACCACUUUAAUCACAAAUAAAAAUUGAAAUAACUUUCUCCAAUCUUAAUAUUAGUAAGGUAAUGUUAGUAAGUGGGGUAUGACUGUGCAAGUCUUGCAGGAUCCUGAACCAUUUGGCAUUUUUAGCUGCUAUAAAAUAUUUUAUUUAUUGCAACACUUUGAAACUGUGAAUUUAGUUUGGAAAUAACUUCCCCACAGCAUGGCAGAAGUAUUUGCACCAGUCCUUGCGUGUCAGUUAUACAUUGGUUGCCUUUCAGCUCCAAAUUCAGUCUUUUGGGAUGUGUGCUGAAAAUGGAUCUGGGCCUUUAAAUAUUUGUCUUUUGCCAGCUGACACUGAAUAUUUGUGAGUAGAAGGUGCUGGAGGUACACCAGACAAAAGGAUUUUACUUCUUGGUUCCUACAGUGUACUUGUGUUCCUGUGUGGCUUCCUCCAUCACCAGUCUUCUGCAGCACAUGUGAGUUCCCCAGUGCUUAGCUCCUGCUGCACGAGGGCUUUCUCCAGUGUUCUACCCCUGAAGUACAUGGUGGCAUGCUGGCCAGGUUUCCCCGGUACCCCUUUCAGGCAGUUUCAUAGUGGUGUGCACUCCAGAGAGCAGACUUCUGGUACAUUCUACUUACACAAUACCACAGACUUUUCUGCCAUUCUGUGAGCCAUGACCAUGCCCUCUUCAAUAAGAUCUGGAUCUCAACCUUAGGGGACAUGGGGGCUCUCCCUUCAGUGCUCUAAGGCAACCUCAGGGCCAAUGACUCUUACAUAUAAUGUUAUAUAAUAGAUCUGCUAUUAUAGCUGUUAUUCCUAUAUUCUUUAGAGUUCUCUUUACCUCUUACUAGCCAAUUUUUCAUUAUUCAAAACCCCUAUAUAGUUAAUAAUUAUUUAUAUUAAACUUUACUUGCUAUUUUACUAUUAUGAUUCCUCUCCCCAGAUUAAUGCAGAUUGAUAUAUCUUGGUACAAAUCUUAACUAAUACCCUACUAUUUUACCUCUCAGCCACCUCAAAAAAGAUAAACAAAUAUAUUGCAGUUGAGUCCCCUUUUGACAUUUAAAUUUACUUCCUCCAUACUGCUCCUCUUCUCACCAAAUCCUUCUUACUGUACCCUGUCCUCUAGCCUCACAAAUCAUGAUGUUGAUCUGUAGGCAUACUGCAUUCUUCACAUCCUUAUAAACCCCAAUUCCUCUGUCCAGAAUCUUUCAUUCCUGUAAUGUACUAGAAGAAUUUGUUCAAUUUUUCAACACCCAGCUCCAAUAUUAUCUUUUUGAAAUAUCUUUAGCAGAAUUAUUCACAUACUUCUAUUUUAGCAUUUAGUAUAUAGUAUUUUAUUUUCUCCAAUAUUUAUUUUCUUCAAUAGACUUUAAUUCUUGAAGGCAGGGGCUGUGUCCUGUUUAUACUUCUAGCUCCUAAGACAGUGCCAGACACACAAACAUCAGUAAAUGUUUGUCAAAUGAUUCGACUCAUCUGCAUAUGAUGCAAGAAAUGGAAAAAUUCACAGCCAUUAUAAUUUUUGACAGUUGCCCAUCAUACAGCUCAACAAUUCUGUUCUGACCAUGUGAUGAAAGUUAUGGAUACUCAGAGAAUCAAUUCUGCAUUUGCAAUUAUCACAACCUUCAGAGUCUCACUUACUUGAUCAGUUAAAAUUCAGAAGCAGAGCAUCAAGCUUCUAAUCCUAGACCAACAGCCAAGAUGCUGUUCCCAGUUCCCAGGUCCUUCUAAUUCCUUACCUAGGGAGAAUAUACCAAGGACUAGAUGUCUAGUUAGACAGAUGGGGAAUCUGGGUAAGUUAACUGGCUUUCUAAACUUUACUUUCCUCAUCUAUACCUACACCGUAGAUGAGAGUUAAAUGAGAUAAUGUAAGUAAAGUUUGCAUGGUGCCAAAUACCAAAUGAUCAUUCAAAUGUUAGGUGCUAUUACAUUCCUUUGUGCCCAGGCUUAGCCACAGUUCCAACAAGAACUCCUCCUUGCUCUUUUUCCUGGCCUGGACAUUUGGACAUCUGUCCAAGCCUAGACAAUCCAAUAGCACAUUCCUAUCAAACUUGGAGAGCUGGACAUCAGUCUCUGCCCAUUCUUUCCUAUAGAACUGCCCAUUGUAGAAUUUGGGGCAUUCCCAGUCCAUCUCCUCGGAGCCCAAUUUAUGCUACAUCUCAGAUUCACCUUUGUCCUUAGGGCAGUUGUCCAUGCCUAUCUUGCUCAAAACCCACAACGUUAGAAGGCAUUCAGGACCCUUUGAAUGUCUCUUCAGUCUUCUUUCCAGCUCUUGUCCUGCCCCACCCACAUCUUUACUGACCACAACCUAACACAUAUAACGACAGUGCAAAAGUAACAAAAGCAUAAGAAAUUUCAGUUCUUUUUCCAAAGUAGAAUUUGCUGGGAGAUUUCUAAUCAGAACUAAAUGAUCCUGGGUUUCAUGUAAUUGAUGCAGAAGUAUGUGUGCUGCUAACCAAUGUUUUCUUUUCUGCUUUUAUUGCCUGGAGAGGAGAAAACAUUGUCUAGAGUGUUUCUCUGCCCUAGAGAUUUUGGAGCAGCCUCUGUGGAUUCUUCCACUGAUAUCUAACAUUACUAAGGAGAGCCUUUAUCCUGCAACAUGGUCCUGAAAGAGUUCAAGUCCUACUGUUGUCACUUGCUACCUGUGUGAGCAUAGAUGAAGAGCUGAAUGUCCAGAGUGGCUAAAGGGCCUGUCAAGGUCGUACAGAACAGGCUUCUUUCAAUGUUCUGGGGGCGAGUAAUGGACAGUUGAAGUGGAUGAUGCUGUCAGUUCUCCCCUUUGCCGUCUUGGCCUCCUCUCAUUGUUCCUGACUACAGACUGCUUAGCCUCUACCUCACCCAUCUGGCUCCCAGCCUGUGACACCCCCACUAGAGUCCCACCAGCUUCUGGGUGGGGUAGAUGGCUUUGAUCCAGCAUGGCAGGCUAAGUGCAGCCUUUGGUGCUUCAGAGCAGCUCAGGAAACCUAAACUUUAAGAUUGCCUCUGCACCAAGCUAAGCUCCCAUAUUUAAUGGAUGUUGUUUGACCCUUCUCCUUGUUGCCUUAGAACGGCUGUCAAGGUGUCUGCUUCCCAGAUACCAUACAGACAACAGGGCAACAGACUCUUGCUAAAGACCAGAGAGGGAAAACUGGGACCCACGUUUAAACACUUCGUUUCCCUCUUUUCCUUAUCUUUCUUCCUACAAUGCCUCUGGGGUCAAAAGGGGGCAGGUUUUCCUCUCUUCCUCUUCCUAUAUGGAGCUCUACAAGCCUGGACCUUGAUAAAUAAAGAUGGAGGUAAAGGAAAAUAUGCAAUUCUCUCUUAAUAGUCUGGCUUGCAAAGCUAGAGUGGUGCAGAAAAGUCUGAAUUUUGAGUGCCAGAAGCUGGAUUUCCUCUGUUCACUCCUCUGUAAUGCUUUUAAUCUCCCUAGGCAGAAGGAUGCCUCACGAAGACUAGGGUGAAGAUCAUGUGCUCUGACAAGCUAAACAUAAAAGCAGAUUAAGAAUUUUCAAACUACUGGUAUUACCUCUAUUCCACUAGCUACCAAAGUGUCAUAAUUAAUACCCACCCACUUAGCCUUAUGAUAAAAUUUCAGCUGCCCAAGAACCAGAGACCCUCUCCUUCCUGCAAUCAGUCUCUCUCCACUAACUAAAAUGGUGAUAUUAGCUAACAUUUAUGAAAAUUUACUAUAUGCUAUGCAGAUUACCUCAUUUAAUUCUCACAACAAUCCUAUGUUGCAAGUACUAUUAUUCACCCACUUUACUGACAAGGAAACCGAAGCUUAGAAAGAUGACCUGGUCAAGGUCCAUACCUAGUAAAUGACAAAGCCAGGAGUCUGAAGCUUGUUUUUAAGCUACUUUCUAGUUUUUACCUGUUGGCCUCCACUGCUUCCAACCUGAUCACCAUACAUACGCUGGUUACCUUCCUAGAAUGAACUGACCAACUUAACCCAAAUGGAAGAGAGGCUGUUUUUCCAGGACCUUUCCUGCCAACUGAAAUGUACAGUGAAAUAUAAGUAGAUCUAUUUAUGGCAAAACUAGAGGUGCUUAAUCUAAAAGAUUUUAUUGCUUCUAGAAAUCUUGGCACUAGUAACAUUAAUUAUCUCAAGUGAAGAUACCAACUUAAAAAUCAAUGCUGCAAUUAAGUUAUAGAUUAAUAAAUCAUUAUUCAGACCUUUAUUUCCCUUUGCCCUAAUUUUCUCAUAUAUAUUUUUCUUUUUAUAUUUGAUUAUUUUUUUCAAAGCUUCUGCAAGUACUCUUGGAAAUGAGGUGGAGUUAGUAAAUCUAAUGAAUGAAUUAGUAAAUCACUGUAUUUUAUAGGUUAAAUAACAAUGACAUUCUGUAUACCACUCUGUAGUUUUGUACACAUUCUUUACCAUUAACUUUGAACUUUACAGAAAUCACUUCUGCAUUCAUCUUUGUGUCACCAGAAUCUGUCCCAAUUCAAUCAUUCAGUAAAUAUUUUUGGAAUUUUAGAAAAAGUGAUAGUGAUGCUGGG
Molecule: non-coding RNA, 8671 nt
Organism: Manis javanica (Malayan pangolin)
Lineage: Eukaryota; Metazoa; Chordata; Mammalia; Pholidota; Manidae
Source: RefSeq, a predicted model, not a curated record